RNAcentral lists this long non-coding RNA (545 nucleotides) under Equus caballus (horse). RNAcentral's name for it is "lncRNA (ENSECAG00000057358.1)". The record is from RNAcentral. Lineage: Eukaryota; Metazoa; Chordata; Mammalia; Perissodactyla; Equidae.
GUUCAGCUGACCCCAUCUCUUAUUGACAGAGUGACUAAGAAUUACCAUUCAGAAAUCUGCAAAGUCAUCUAGCCAGGGAAUGCACAAAAGAAGAAAUCUUGACCUUAAAUGAUCACGGAACCAAAGUCCUCCAUCCCGUGGAACCCAGGGACUGGGACACAACUGGAACUUGAAAGUCGGAGUCUUAUCAGAAGCUGAUGCCGUAAUUAAUCUGCUUCUUUAUGCACAUCGGGCAAGUGAACUUCACUUUUGUUCAGCAACAAUUUUAGCCAUUCUGAUUUUUGAUCACGUCUAAGAAGAAUAACAUCAAAAAAGAAGUUUAGGGGCCAGCCCCGUGGCCGAAUGGUUAAGUUUGCGUGCUCUGCUUUGGCGGCCCUGGGUUUCGCUGGUUUGGAUCCCGGGUACGGACAUGGCGCCGCUCAUUAGGCCAUGCUGAGGCGGCAUCCCACAUGCCACAACUAGAAGGACCCACAACUAAAAAAUACAUAACUGUGUACCGGGGGUCUUUGGGAGAAAAAGAAAAAAAAUAAAAUCUUUAAAAAAAG